This 723-nucleotide ribosomal RNA is filed under the name Salmonella enterica. Its description in RNAcentral is "partial 23S ribosomal RNA". It matches the Rfam family "Bacterial large subunit ribosomal RNA", at positions 2208 to 2925 of the family's 2925-position model. Lineage: Bacteria; Pseudomonadati; Pseudomonadota; Gammaproteobacteria; Enterobacterales; Enterobacteriaceae. RNAcentral also lists the same sequence under 1 other name. The record is from RNAcentral.
UAAUGUUUGAUGUUCUAACGUGGACCCGUGAUCCGGGUUGCGGACAGUGUCUGGUGGGUAGUUUGACUGGGGCGGUCUCCUCCUAAAGAGUAACGGAGGAGCACGAAGGUUGGCUAAUCCUGGUCGGACAUCAGGAGGUUAGUGCAAUGGCAUAAGCCAGCUUGACUGCGAGCGUGACGGCGCGAGCAGGUGCGAAAGCAGGUCAUAGUGAUCCGGUGGUUCUGAAUGGAAGGGCCAUCGCUCAACGGAUAAAAGGUACUCCGGGGAUAACAGGCUGAUACCGCCCAAGAGUUCAUAUCGACGGCGGUGUUUGGCACCUCGAUGUCGGCUCAUCACAUCCUGGGGCUGAAGUAGGUCCCAAGGGUAUGGCUGUUCGCCAUUUAAAGUGGUACGCGAGCUGGGUUUAGAACGUCGUGAGACAGUUCGGUCCCUAUCUGCCGUGGGCGCUGGAGAACUGAGGGGGGCUGCUCCUAGUACGAGAGGACCGGAGUGGACGCAUCACUGGUGUUCGGGUUGUCAUGCCAAUGGCACUGCCCGGUAGCUAAAUGCGGAAGAGAUAAGUGCUGAAAGCAUCUAAGCACGAAACUUGCCCCGAGAUGAGUUCUCCCUGAGACUUAGAGUCUCCUGAAGGAACGUUGAAGACGACGACGUUGAUAGGCCGGGUGUGUAAGCGCAGCGAUGCGUUGAGCUAACCGGUACUAAUGAACCGUGAGGCUUAACCUU